This is a long non-coding RNA of Neogale vison (American mink), 6089 nucleotides long. RefSeq lists it as uncharacterized. The record is from RefSeq and is a predicted model, not a curated record. NCBI's taxonomy places the organism in Eukaryota, Metazoa, Chordata, Mammalia, Carnivora, Mustelidae. The transcript has 2 exons.
GGUGAGAUCCGAGUAAGAAAACCGAUGCGAAAGCCACAGCAAGUGGCAAAGGGCUGCGCGCAGGUGAGAAGGAAGGUGCCGACACCUGCAGGAAAGGGAUCUCUGAAGACACUCGCUUCCGGUAGGAAAGGACCCAAACCCACCCACACCACCCGCAUCCUCCCGCACCAGCAGGUCGGUGAGCUCGUCCGCCGGACUCCGAAACCAUGGCCUACCCGGGGGCCGAGCUCCGACAGGCCAGCCGUGUAGACGGGACAGAAGCGUCCCGACACCGUCGAGCCGGGACCGCCAGCCCCCCGGGCUCGGGGCGGUUUUCCCCCCCAGGGAGGAGAAGGAGGAUGAGGAAGGUGGGAGUGACUUCAUGAAUGGUGUCAUUUAUAACUGAAAUCCAAAGGAAUCGUUUCAAGCUGACAAAUCAAGUCAUCCAAGUAUGAACAUUUAACACCACGAAGGUAAGCAUGAAGAAAUACUGACUCAAAUCAGGUGAGUUGGGAAGGAAGGGGAAGGAUGUGUAUUUUAUUGUUGUUUAUGGGAAAGGGCUAAGACAUUAUCAAAGGAAGUAGAGGAUAUGGGGCCAAAUGAGGUGUAAUUAUAGAGGCAAAUAAGACAACAUCAACUUCUCUAAUGACAGCCUGAAGAAACGAAGAGGGAAAUGAACACUCCUGACUGACGGGAUCACAUUGUCUCCUGCUACCACAGCUCUUGCUACAUCCGGGUUGUUCUGUGUAAUGAAGGGCUGGCUGGCACCCCGCAGGCAGCACUGCCCUUCUCCAUCUCGGCUGAGAUCAGUGCAUUCAGCAACGCUCCUCAAACUGUGUUGAAUGCCUGGUGUCCUUUUUUAUUUCCUUUCUGUGGCAACCCAGUCAGGAGAAUGAAAUGACACCUAACCAAAGCAAACACAUGCAAAAUGCAAGCUCUAAUCAUUGGCUGUUAGAGUCCAGAGACUUAAAAAUAAUGAAUAUAAUAAUAUUGAGAAAAAGAAUGACAAAACUAUUAGGUUCUUUGUUAAAAGUGUAACAGUGGUUCGUCUGGAGAAGUAUUUUCAUAGGGAACUCUAUUUUCCAAAGAUGGCUGCCACAGCAUCAUGAACACCAACUUGCCCGCCGAGUGAGUGACGCCUCACCAGCAGAGAUGAACCAUCCACGCUGAGUCCUACCCAAAUUGUAGAUUUUGACUUCUUUUUUUGCCUAGUUUGCUUCCUCCUCCUUCUCUUCACAGGGGAUCAUCUUGCCCCCCAAACUCCUCUUGUUGGCUUCUGGAGAACUCAACUUGUGACAACACGUAACACCCAGCCCUUAACCUGGCAACUUCCCUUCUUUGGUAUUAGAAAUGCUAGAAAAUUCUAGCAUUUGAAUUACCCAAAAUGUUAAAUAAACCUGGUUAGAAUUUAGACCCAACUACAAAAAAAGCUUACAUUCAGUGUAAGUUAUUUAGGAAAUUCCAAAUGCUUUUCUUUGUUGCUUGCUACAUGUAGUACUUUAUAAAUGAUGCUUUUCUGCACAUGAGCAGGAGCUCUUUUCUCAAAAGCUAGUGCAGAACACAUGUGACUGUUCACUUAAAAGGUUUAGCAAAGAAAAGUCCUAGUCAACUGCAUUUCACAUUACUUCUAGUACCUUCAACCAUACUUACAGUCUACAAACAUGGUAGGACAAGAGAAUGGGGAAGCAACUGAGGCACUUGACUCAGGAACAAAGUUUGGUGGGAUUCCAAAAUAAUCAGUCAUCAACAUAAAUGGCAUUUUAAGAUGAUAUUAAAAAUUAAUGCAAAAAAUAUUCAUGAUUUUAAAAUAUCAAAAUUGUUAUCGAGAUCAUCUUCACAUGACUGACUGAAUGAAUAGCAGAGGUUUGUGAUGGGGUCACAUACCUGCGGUCAUCACCCCAAAGCACCUCAUUCUAGGUCCUCAUAAAUUGUUGAUGACAACAUUUUUUCUGAUUUGAAAAAUAACAAAUAUACUUCACAUCCAUUAUGAUGACUAUUAUAAAAAAACUAAAUUAAACAAAAAUGGACAAUAACCAGUGUUGGUGAAGAUGUGGCAAAACUCAUUGGUGAUGGGGAUACCGAAUGGUGUCAUCACUGUAGUGGUUUCUCAAAAAGUUAAACGUGGAAUGACCAUGUGAUGAUUCAGCAUAUGAUGAUUCUACAUACCUAGCAGUUCCACUCCUAUGUAUACACCCAAAAGGGCCUCAAUUCUUGGGUAUAUACCCAAAGAGAUCCUUGAAUACCCAUGUCUUUAACGGCAUUACUCACAAUAGCCAAAGGUGGAAACAAGAUAAAUAUUCACUGGCAGAUAAAUGAAUAAACAAAAUGUGGCUUAUAUGUACAUACAAUGGGAUAUUAUUCAGCUUGAACAAAUGAAGUUCUAAUAACAUGCCACAGCAAGGAUGGACCUUGAAGAGACUGCACCAAGUGAAAUAAGCCAUAUACGGAAGGACACAUGGUGUAUGAGUCCAUUUAUAUGAGGUACGUAAAAUAGGCAAAUUCGUAGAGGAAGAUGGUAGAAUAGUGGUCGCCAGGGACUGGGGGGAGUGGGGUGAGAAGCUAUUAUUUAAUAGUUUCCACGCAGGUUGAUGAAAAUUCUGGAAAUGGGUGGUGGUGAUGGUUCCACACAGUGUGAAUGUAUUUAAUGCCACUGAAUUGGGCAUAUAAAAAUAGAAAAUGUGGUAAAUUUUAUGUCAUGUAUUUUUUACAGUAAAAAUGACAAAUGCUCACCUCAUAAAGUUAAACAAAUAAGAAAAUAAAGAGUAAAUUUUAAAUUAUUACUCAUGCUAUCACCCAGAGAGAUAGCUGGCUUCAGACCUUUCAUAGAACAUCUUGGGAUGACCUCACAACGUGUGGCAGCAUCAUUAAGACAUGCGUUUUUUUCCUCUCUGGCUUUUCUCUUCCUGUGUCAUGUGAGGAUAUCAGGCUUCACUUGCACGGUGUACACAGACAAAAGCAUCUUGGCCUGCAAAAUGUUUUCAUAUUGGCUGACUCCCCCUAACAAAUCCUAAUUUCUCUUGUCACUGAAGAGAUUAAGUGAAAGACCUUUGAGAGCAAGAGGAGAAAAGAGAAUUUGUAGGCUCCAAGAAGGAAUGGGGACAGAAUCUCUCACCUCACAAGUUCUAAGGGUUGGACCCAUGGACACACACCAGUGGCCAAUCCUCAGAUAGGAUGGCACUGAGAUGUCCAGCCUUCUGCAAAGAUUCUUCUACUGUAUUCCUGGCGUGGAAGAGGAGAGCUAAGGAACGUCUCUGGACAUAAGCAAUAAGAACACCAGUAACAGACUUACUUGGUACACUAGACAUUUAUCUCCUGUUAUGAAUCUAUUGACAAUUUUUUAGAAGUCUUUGGGAAAAGAGGAUAGAAGUCUUGGAGGUCUGGCAACUUUCUAAGACACAACUAUUCCUAUAUCAAGGAUUGGCUACAUCCAAAUGUCUUGGCAUGACAGCCAUUGGGUUAUUGGGUUUUGUCUUUAGUUUCUUUUAAUCUAGAAGAGUCUCUCAACCUUUUAUUUCAUUUAAUGGUCUCCACUUUGUGGAGACCAGGCUGGUUAUCUAGUAGAUGCCCUAUAAUUCUCAUUUGUCUGAUUGGUUCUUCCCGAUGUUAUGUCUCUCUCCCUUGAAUUUCCUGGAACCCUGCUGUUAGGUGUAUGGCUAACAUUUUUGUUUCAAGAUGAGAUUCAGAUCCCACAUUUUUGGUAGGAUAAGCACAUUUUGUAUCUCUUCCUACCCAGCAGCACAUAUCAGUUUGUCUACUGUAAGUGAUGCUCAAUUUAAUUGGACUUCUUGGGUAAGGUGGUGAUGAGCGUCUCUCUCCAUUGUAAAGAUCAUAUUCCCCUCUGUAAUCAGCAGGUCACCUGGGAGUGACACCAUGAAAUGUAGGCAGAUUGUCACCAAUAAUUCCUCCCAUUUCUGUUAGCAUGUUCUGCCCCUCCCAUCAAGAGGUAGAAAUCUUUUUCAUCCCUAUUCUGGACUGGCCUUGUAACUUAGUUUAAGUAAUUGUAAUGUGGUAGAAGUGGUGUAUCCUUAUUUUGGGGCCUAGGCCUUAAGAUGCCUUAAAGCUUCUCUUUUUGCCCUCUUGGGUUCAAGCUGCCCAGUAAAGAAACUCGGGCUGGACUACUGAAUGGUAAGAAAGCAUGAAGAGGAGAGAGGUCCCCCCAGUUCAGCUGGAGGCAUCAGAGAUAGGAGUGAAGCCAUCUUGAAUUCUUCAGCCCAGGUCAAGCUAUCCCAGCCAACACCACAUGGUCAGAGGCAAGCCCUGUCCAUGGAGCUCUGCUUAACUUGCAGCCACGGCAAAAAAAUAAAUGGUAUUUUAGGCCAACAUGGAUUUUGAGUGGUUUGUCAUUCAGGCAACAUAGGAAACAAAUCCCAUGUAAAUAUUCUGUUUCAUGCGGUAGUUUUAGCAUCCAUUGAUAUUUGCCUGGGUCAAUUAUUUCAUUGGGGUUGCCACAGGAGAGUUUAAAUUUUGCUGUUCUCUCUACAGCAGAGAGAGAGAGAGAGAGAGAGAGAGAGAGAGAGAAAGAAGGCAGAGAGAAGAGGGGGAGAGAAAAAGCACCAGUUUUCUGUCAACUUGGUAUAAAUGGCUGUUCCUCCCGAGAAUGGAGGGUGAAUGCUUCAUCUUUCCCAUGAUUAAUUUUCAGAACAGAAAGGUGAAGAGUCAGUCACUCCCCAAGGAUGGCAAAUAGGGUUCUCCACCCUCUACUUCUAGUCUUUCUUCAGUGCUUGUCCUCCAGUCCCCUGGGUCUCCACACAGACCUGUCCAUGAACUCAAAGCAUUGCGCUCUAACCGCUGAUUCAUUUGUCUGUUGAACUGAACUCUGUUUCUUGAAGGCAGGCACAUUAGGGGCAAAGCCAAGUACGUCUCAGUUCUACGCGAACCUAGAUUUCUAUCAUACUCCUACUUUUCUUCUUCGUGUAUAUUAUCUUACAUGGUUUAGAUAAUAUCUGAUAAUUUUUUUAACCAUGACACUGCUUUAUCUUUGGGUGGUUUUGAUGUUUUUUCAUUUCAUUUUUUGAUGGAAAGAGUACUGGCCACAGUAGAGUGGGCUGGUAAUAUAAAUCAGCAGUUCCUGACCCUCAAACCCUCAACUCCACCAGGAGUAAGCACUUUCAGUUUUUUAGGUUUGGUUCUUGUACGUCUCUCUCUCUUUUUUAAUGGCCACGAUAUCUUUCAACUCAAAUGCCUUUUUCACAGUGUUGCCUUGUCUCCCAGUGACAGGUGGGAUCUAUAUCCUCUCCCCUAGAAACUGGAGGGCCUUUGUGACUGUUCCAACCAAUACAGUACGGCAGUGGUGAUGCAGUGUGACUUCUGAGACUGCUACAGAGACUGCCAAAGUUUUCUGCCUCUCUGGAAUACUUGGAUCUCAAAGCCUUCGUCCUGACCACCUGGCGGAAGCUCCACGUAGACACUGCCUGGGGACGCGCUGAGGCUUCAUGGAGCUGCCCCUACUGCCCCCGGAGUUUCAUCGCUCUGCCAUGCCAGCCCCAGCCGCUCUCUGACCACAUCUGUGCGCAUGGUUCCCAGCUAGACCCCGUGAGCUCCUGAUCCACAGCAAUCAAGAGAGAAAAUAGUGCUUUAAGCCAUGAUGGUCAGGCCUCUUGGAGGCCAGGCUUGGUUUUUUGGUCAUACUAAGGAAGUAGCACCUUCAUUUACUCUGGUCCCAAGGAUCCCAGCAUCACUGAAUUAUUGCUUAUGAAUUCCGUGGGGAAGAUCAUUCUAAUUGUCACGCUCGCUCUAAUUGUCACGCAUGCACGUUCUAAUUGCCUCAUAUGCUGACAAGUCCACUUGGCUUGUAAUGGUUAAUUGACAUAACAUGGCUUCUGCAACCAAAGGAUCUUUUCAGCUCUGACGAAAUCAAAGAGCCAGUAAAAUAAUUGGGAAUGUCUUCCUUUCACCUAUCAAAGGCUCGGUUAGGGGGCUGGGUCAUGAAUCUCCCCUGGGAACAGUGAAGCCUUGGGAAGGUUCUCAAAAGAUGAAUCCAUGCCAGCAUUUCUAUUUCCUAAAGAUACUGGGUUCUUCCUUCUGCAUUAUGUAUUAAUGGAGUUCCGAUUCGAUUGUCGAGUUGUUUCUUCAACCACCGAAGCAAUUAAAACCACUCCCAGCAGCUCAAA